GGCCCGCUGGCCAAAUGGUAAGGCGUCAGAUUUCGGUGUUUUCUUUAAAAAAAAGCUAGAAAUAUCUCUGAAGAUUGGGCGUUCGAGCCGCCCGUGGGUCG
Molecule: non-coding RNA, 101 nt
Organism: Sordaria macrospora k-hell
Lineage: Eukaryota; Fungi; Ascomycota; Sordariomycetes; Sordariales; Sordariaceae
Source: Rfam